AGAGUUUGAUCCUGGCUUAGGAUGAACGCUAGCUACAGGCUUAACACAUGCAAGUCGAGGGGCAGCAUGGGAGUUGCUGCAAUUCCUGAUGGCGACCGGCGCACGGGUGAGUAACGCGUAUCCAACCUUCCCCUUAGUAGGGCAUAGCCCGGUGAAAAUCGGAUUAAUACCCUAUGUUCUUCACAGCAGACAUCUAACGUGAAGCAAAGGUUCACCGCUAAGGGAUGGGGAUGCGUCUGAUUAGGUAGUAGGCGGGGUAACGGCCCACCUAGCCUUCGAUCAGUAGGGGUUCUGAGAGGAAGGUCCCCCACAUUGGAACUGAGACACGGUCCAAACUCCUACGGGAGGCAGCAGUGAGGAAUAUUGGUCAAUGGGCGAGAGCCUGAACCAGCCAAGUAGCCGUGCAGGAUGACGGCCCUAUGGGUUGUAAACUGCUUUUAUAUGGGGAUAAAGUUCACCACGUGUGGUGUUUUGUAGGUACCAUAUGAAUAAGGACCGGCUAAUUCCGUGCCAGCCGCCGC
This 521-nucleotide ribosomal RNA is filed under the name uncultured bacterium. RNAcentral's name for it is "bacterial SSU rRNA". It matches the Rfam family "Bacterial small subunit ribosomal RNA", at positions 8 to 518 of the family's 1533-position model. The record is from RNAcentral.